Molecule: small RNA, 79 nt
Filed under: Xanthomonas bromi
Lineage: Bacteria; Pseudomonadati; Pseudomonadota; Gammaproteobacteria; Lysobacterales; Lysobacteraceae
Description: sX9 sRNA
Rfam family: Xanthomonas sRNA sX9
Source: RNAcentral
AUGUGUCCGUCCUCCGUGCACUGCGGUUCCUGCGUGCCGCCCACACCGCCUGACGACUGCCCGCUAUGUCUUGGUAACC